CACUCCAACUUAUGCUCUCUUCCAGUGCUGUCAUGAAGACCAGAAGUGCUGAAUUAUUGCUGAGAUGAACUUUUACCUAGUUUUCUGCAUGCAAGAGAUAGGGUUUUCUGGGGGAUGAGGGUGGGGGUCACAUUCCUGUGAGAAGUACGUGCCAGGACGGAGAGAUGGAUUGGCUAAUGGCCAAUGAGAAAUCGGGUUGGAGAGCGGAAGAGGAGGGGGUUGGAAGGAGGGGCCAGUUGAGCUGCAAUUAGCCUCAGAAAUGUCGGCUAUUUCUGUUCUUAAUAAAGAAUGAUUCAUUAGAGACUGCGCUUGAAAAUGAAACUUAUUUUAAGACAGAACCGAAACCUGACAGACAGCUCAACUCUCCUCCAAAUCCAGGCUGGCUGAGUUUAAAUCAUCCCGUUCCCUCCCACACAACUGGUCGGACGGACUAUGGCUGAAGCCAAGCUAUCGGAGGAAAGCCUGCUUCAAGAAACGGGAGGAGCAGAAGCGGUCGUGAUUCCAGCCAACUUGGAAAAUACAAAGGUGAUGUCGCAGAAGUGAAGGGAGAGGGGCCGGAUGUCAGCACUCCAACUUAUGCUCUCUUCCAGUGCUGUCACGAAGACCGGAAGUGCUGAAUUAUUGCUGAGAUGAACUUUUACCUAGUUUUCUGCAUGCAAGAGAUAGGGUUUUCUGGGAGAUGAGGGUGGGGGUCACAUUCCUGUGAGAAGUACGUGCCAGGACGGAGAGAUGGAUUGGCUAAUGGCCAAUGAGAAAUCGGGUUGGAGAGCGGAAGAGGAGGGGGUUGGAAGGAGGGGCCAGUUGAGCUGCAAUUAGCCUCAGAAAUGUCGGCUAUUUCUGUUCUUAAUAAAGAAUGAUUCAUUAGA
Molecule: non-coding RNA, 866 nt
Organism: Pantherophis guttatus
Lineage: Eukaryota; Metazoa; Chordata; Lepidosauria; Squamata; Colubridae
Source: RefSeq, a predicted model, not a curated record